UCUGUUCUAUUGGGUUGUUGC
This 21-nucleotide non-coding RNA is filed under the name Arabidopsis thaliana (thale cress). The record is from RNAcentral. Lineage: Eukaryota; Viridiplantae; Streptophyta; Magnoliopsida; Brassicales; Brassicaceae.